RNAcentral lists this small RNA (297 nucleotides) under Mixta calida. RNAcentral describes it as "Soft rot Enterobacteriaceae Rev 39 5'UTR". It matches the Rfam family "Soft rot Enterobacteriaceae Rev 39 5'UTR". From Rfam's summary of the family: From bacteria cultured under starvation conditions. The record is from RNAcentral. Lineage: Bacteria; Pseudomonadati; Pseudomonadota; Gammaproteobacteria; Enterobacterales; Erwiniaceae.
GUUGUCUAACCCUGCCUGUCUGUGAUAACUCUUUAGGCAUUACUUCGAAUAAGUGAAAUUUUGAACAUCAUAUGAAAGCCCUUCUACGAGUGAUUAGCCUAGUCGUGAUUAGCGUGGUGGUGAUUAUUAUCACACCGUGCGGGGCUGCGCUCGGAGGAAGAAAGGCUUAAAAAUCAAGCCUGAAUCUAAAAGAACCCCCGCACCGAAAGGUCCGGGGGUUUUUUUAUGGUCAGGCAUCGGGGCAGUCAAUGAAAGAGGAACAAACAAUGUACAGUAGCAUAAAACACUGUUGUUCCC